GCCUACAGCCACACCACCCUGAAAGCGCCUGAUCUUGGAAGCGAACGAGGGACGAGCCUGGUUAAUACCUGGAUGGGAGACGGCCUGGGAAUACCAGGUGGCUUUUUAAC
This 110-nucleotide ribosomal RNA is filed under the name Xenopus laevis (African clawed frog). The record is from RNAcentral. Lineage: Eukaryota; Metazoa; Chordata; Amphibia; Anura; Pipidae.